Molecule: non-coding RNA, 29 nt
Filed under: Rattus norvegicus (Norway rat)
Lineage: Eukaryota; Metazoa; Chordata; Mammalia; Rodentia; Muridae
Source: RNAcentral
UACAGAGAAAGAUGGGACCUUUGGAGAGU